RNAcentral lists this non-coding RNA (84 nucleotides) under Halalkalibacter okhensis. RNAcentral's name for it is "Bacillus okhensis c-di-GMP-II sequence". It matches the Rfam family "Cyclic di-GMP-II riboswitch aptamer". The record is from Rfam by way of RNAcentral. Lineage: Bacteria; Bacillati; Bacillota; Bacilli; Caryophanales; Bacillaceae.
AACUUAGAAGGACGCGAUGAGUAAUUACCUGUAUGUGGGCACUUGGGUAGUUAGGAGCAAGUAGUGCAACCGGCCAGAUUUGUA